RNAcentral lists this ribosomal RNA (244 nucleotides) under uncultured bacterium. RNAcentral's name for it is "partial 16S ribosomal RNA". It matches the Rfam family "Bacterial small subunit ribosomal RNA", at positions 1258 to 1500 of the family's 1533-position model. The record is from RNAcentral.
UGAGGCGGAGCUAAUCCCUUAAAGCCAUUCUCAGUUCGGAUUGUAGGCUGAAACUCGCCUACAUGAAGCUGGAGUUACUAGUAAUCGCAGAUCAGAAUGCUGCGGUGAAUGCGUUCCCGGGUCUUGUACACACCGCCCGUCACACCAUGGGAGUCGGAAAUGCCCGAAGCCAGUGACCCAACCUUUAAGGAGGGAGCUGUCGAAGGCAGGUCUGGUAACUGGGGUGAAGUCGUAACAAGGUAAC